RNAcentral lists this unclassified non-coding RNA (584 nucleotides) under uncultured fungus. RNAcentral's name for it is "sequence contains ITS1, 5.8S rRNA gene and ITS2". The stretch from base 217 to 370 matches the Rfam family "5.8S ribosomal RNA". Lineage: Eukaryota; Fungi. The record is from RNAcentral.
CUUGGUCAUUUAGAGGAAGUAAAAGUCGUAACAAGGUCUCCGUUGGUGAACCAGCGGAGGGAUCAUUACCGAGUUUACAACUCCCAAACCCCUGUGAACAUACCACUUGUUGCCUCGGCGGAUCAGCCCGCUCCCGGUAAAACGGGACGGCCCGCCAGAGGACCCCUAAACUCUGUUUCUAUAUGUAACUUCUGAGUAAAACCAUAAAUAAAUCAAAACUUUCAACAACGGAUCUCUUGGUUCUGGCAUCGAUGAAGAACGCAGCAAAAUGCGAUAAGUAAUGUGAAUUGCAGAAUUCAGUGAAUCAUCGAAUCUUUGAACGCACAUUGCGCCCGCCAGCAUUCUGGCGGGCAUGCCUGUUCGAGCGUCAUUUCAACCCUCAAGCCCAGCUUGGUGUUGGGACUCGCGAGUCAAAUCGCGCUCCCCAAAUUGAUUGGCGGUCACGUCGAGCUUCCAUAGCGUAGUAGUAAAACCCUCGUUACUGGUAAUCGUCGCGGCCACGCCGUUAAACCCCAACUUCUGAAUGUUGACCUCGGAUCAGGUAGGAAUACCCGCUGAACUUAAGCAUAUCAAUAAGCGGAGGA